ACAAGUUAUAGCAUAUACAAUGCUUUUUAUUUACACUAAAAAGAAAAUAGAUUUAUUUAACUUGU
RNAcentral lists this transfer RNA (65 nucleotides) under Gastrostomobdella extenta. Its description in RNAcentral is "tRNA-Val". Lineage: Eukaryota; Metazoa; Annelida; Clitellata; Hirudinida; Gastrostomobdellidae. The record is from RNAcentral.